AAAAUUUUGAGCUGAAUGAAUUAUAUCCUUAAAAAUUUAAUGAAAAGUAUGUUUUGAAUGAAAACUCAAAGUUUUCUAGUUUUUAAUAUUUUCUCUAGAAAGUGUCCACUACCGAAAAACAUUGCAGUUGAAAUAAUUGAGAGUUUUGCCCUUACUCAUCAGGAAUUGGAAUCAUACGCAUCGAAUGUAACUUCUGGUAGGGCAUUUUUUUUUUCCCUGCCUAAAAGCCAUUCACCGUGCCAUUCUGAAUUUUGGCAUGACAUUUGAGAAUACAGCAGUGCCCCCUUAUCCUUGAGUUCACUUCUAAAGUUUCAGUUACCCGCAGUCAACAAUGGUCCAAAAAUAUUACAUGGAAAAUUCCAGAAAUAAACAUGAAUUCGUAAGUUUUAAAUUGUGUGCCGUUCUGCAUAAUGUGGUGAAAUCUCACAUCAUCCUGCUCUGUCCCCUCCAGGACGUGAAUCAUCCCUUUGUCCAGUGUGUCCACGCUGUAGGCACUACCCAGCCAUUAGUCUCUUAGAAACUAUCUCAGUUCUCAGAUCGACUACUGAGGUAUCGCAGUGCUUCUGUUCAAGUAACUUGUUUUACUUAAUGAUGGCCCCAAAGCACAAGAGUAGGGAUGCUGGCAAUUCCGAUAUGCCAAAGAGAAGCCGUAAAGUGCUUCCUUUAAGUGAUAAGGUGAAAGUUCCCAUUUAAUAAGGAAAUAAAAUCAUAUGCUGAGGUUGCUAAGGUCGACCGUAACUUUCAUUCCAGUAUAUUGUUGUAAUUGUUCUAUUUUAUUGUUAUUAAUCUCUCACUGUGUGUCAUUUAUAAAUUAAACUUAGUCAUAGGUAUGUACGUGUAGGAAAAAACUUUGUACAUGUAGGGUUCAGUCCUAUCCACAGUUUCAGGCAUCCACUGAGGGUCUUGGAACAUAUCCCCUGCAGUUAAGGGGGGACUUUUGUAUUGAAUUCUCUUUUCCUGCCUACCCUGUUCAUUCGAUUUAGGGUUACCUUUUCUCUUUAUGGCAUCAUUCAUACUUCCAAAACAUAUUCCUCAAACUGUAUUCUGUGGCUGAUUACCCUCAUCUUUGCAACUCUUCUUCACUUCAUUUGGGUUUUCAGACAG
RNAcentral lists this long non-coding RNA (1104 nucleotides) under Equus caballus (horse). RNAcentral's name for it is "lncRNA (ENSECAG00000055695.1)". Lineage: Eukaryota; Metazoa; Chordata; Mammalia; Perissodactyla; Equidae. The record is from RNAcentral.